GCAGCAGCCGCGGGAAAACGAAGGGUGCAAGCGUUACUCGGAAUUACUGGGCGUAAAGCGUGCGUAGGUGGUGGUUUAAGUCCGUUGUGAAAGCCCUGGGCUCAACCUGGGAAUUGCAGUGGAUACUGGGUCACUAGAGUGUGGUAGAGGAUAGUGGAAUUUCCGGUGUAGCAGUGAAAUGCGUAGAGAUCGGAAGGAACAUCUGUGGCGAAGGCGACUAUCUGGGACAACACUGACGCUGAGGCACGAAAGCGUGGGGAGCAAACAGGAUUAGAUACCCCAGUAGUCCCUGUCUCUUAUAC
RNAcentral lists this ribosomal RNA (302 nucleotides) under uncultured bacterium. RNAcentral describes it as "partial 16S ribosomal RNA". It matches the Rfam family "Bacterial small subunit ribosomal RNA", at positions 508 to 807 of the family's 1533-position model. The record is from RNAcentral.